RNAcentral lists this long non-coding RNA (1419 nucleotides) under Homo sapiens (human). Its description in RNAcentral is "novel transcript". The record is from RNAcentral. Lineage: Eukaryota; Metazoa; Chordata; Mammalia; Primates; Hominidae.
GAUGUCAGGGACAGGCUUGAAGAUUCCUGAUGUCUCAGCACCCAGCACGGCUGUCAGCCUCGGCAGGAGGAAGACCACGGAAAAGAGAGAUGACCAUGUGACCAGGAAAACCCCUCUACAAGGAAGCAUACAUAGUGGGGAACGAAGUGCUUACAAGCAGCAAACAAGCUGGAAGGUGGGUUUAUAUUGACAAGUUCUCCCACCAACAUGGCGCUUCUCGGGAAGUUCCUUCUGAGACCUCAACUGUGGAAGAACAACCUAGACCUUGGAAGAGGAUGCUGCUUUCCCGCCUUCCUCACUUGCACAAGCCUCUGGCUAGUUGAAACAGACAAAGCAGUCUGUCCCUCAUAACCUCAUUAAUAUGACCUGUAGGAGACCUCCUCCGUGUCUCCUGAAUGAUAUAUUUACUCUGAUCUUAGAAGAGACCUACCCAUCCUCCCUGUGUCCUUCAGGCAGAGCAUUUUUACUGUGCACCUCUUUGUGACGAGAUCAUCACAAGAUUCUGGGGAAACAACAGUGAGCACAAUGGACAAAGCCCUUCUUUUGGAACUGGCUUAAGAGACACUCAAUGAACAAGGAAAUGUGUAUCUAUUGGUGUAAAAACUGUACGUUUGGAUGGGGUAUAGAGAAGGUUUGUGUGGGAAGGAUAAACUCACAUAGAAUGGGCAGAGAAGGUCCCUAUGCCCAGAUGUCAUGUGGGCAGAGCAGGAAUGAAGGAUGGGUCCAAGCCAUGGAAAUAGUUGGCCAGAACCAGGAAGAAGAACAGCAGGUGCAAAGGUCCUGGGGCGGGGGUGCACAUGGCACAGAUGAGCAGCAGCAAGGGAGGUGCUGCCGCACGACGUAGCAAGACAGGAGAUGGGAUGUGGCUCCUGGGGAAGAAGAAGGACAGUGAAGAAGGCGGUUGAGCAAGGAGCUAGAAAAACUAACGCGGACAUGAGGACGAAGCAAAGAUAGUCAUUUUAGGACAUUUGGUCUAAGCCAGAACUGUCUCUCACACCUCAAGGCCAUCUGCAGGGAUUUCACUAUAUACAGUAUGAUAGUUGAUGCUUAUAUGAUCACCCCAAGUUGUUAACAUGAGUUUAUGUUUAUAUUCAGCAUUCCAUUUAUUUUAAUUCCAAACACCUUUAUUGAGCCCUUAGUACAUGGGAGACCUUAUGUCAGACAGUGGGAAUGGAAAGAUGAGAAAUUUAGCGUCAUCAACCUUCCAGAGUUCAUAAUCUAGCUAGAGAGAAAUAUGCAUAGCUAUGUACCCUGAUUAUGAAAACAAGAAAAUGCUUCGUGUAUUUAAAAAGCUCUCUAUCUAAAAUAAUUUCACUUACAUUUAAAUAACUUAAUACUAAAAGGGGAAUCUCGAGUUGCUGAAAAUUCACUGAUAUGGAAAUCUUCAAACCCAACUAUGCCAGGAAAAAACACAGACUU